GGCCCGUUAGCUCAGUUGGUUAGAGCGUCGUGCUAAUAACGCGAAGGUCGUGGGUUCGAUCCCACCCACGGGCCA
RNAcentral lists this transfer RNA (75 nucleotides) under Schistocerca americana (American grasshopper). RNAcentral describes it as "tRNA-Ile". It matches the Rfam family "tRNA". From Rfam's summary of the family: Transfer RNA (tRNA) molecules are approximately 80 nucleotides in length. Their secondary structure includes four short double-helical elements and three loops (D, anti-codon, and T loops). Further hydrogen bonds mediate the characteristic L-shaped molecular structure. tRNAs have two regions of fundamental functional importance: the anti-codon, which is responsible for specific mRNA codon recognition, and the 3' end, to which the tRNAs corresponding amino acid is attached (by aminoacyl-tRNA synthetases). tRNAs cope with the degeneracy of the genetic code in two manners: having more than one tRNA (with a specific anti-codon) for a particular amino acid; and 'wobble' base-pairing, i.e. permitting non-standard base-pairing at the 3rd anti-codon position. Lineage: Eukaryota; Metazoa; Arthropoda; Insecta; Orthoptera; Acrididae. The record is from RNAcentral.